GAAUCUUGAUGAUGCUGC
RNAcentral lists this non-coding RNA (18 nucleotides) under Arabidopsis thaliana (thale cress). Lineage: Eukaryota; Viridiplantae; Streptophyta; Magnoliopsida; Brassicales; Brassicaceae. The record is from RNAcentral.